UUUUCCCCGGCCACAGGCUUGGCGAGUCUCUACUCCAUGGGGCUGGUUUUGGCCUCCUGGUUGUGGCCCCUGGACAGGAUCUCGGCCAGCAGAUCCGAAGGCUACGAAGGCGGCGUGGCCGGCAACCCCAUCCAAAUUGCUCACCGGAUCAUCUUGCUAGUGGAGUCCAUCCUCUUCGGCCUCUUCGUCACGGUGAUAUUUUACGACCAGGUGGUCUCCAUCAUCACCGACGAGACCGCCGUGGAGCAGCUGCGCAACCGGCUUCAGAGGGAGGGUCCCCAGGUGGGGAGCCACACACGCAAACCCAAGAUUGCCCUCCUGCGUGAGGUCUUCGGCCGAGGUUUGGUCGUCUGCUGGUUUUUCCCCUGCAACUUCACCUCUCCGUCCACCAGCGGGCCGUCUUACAGCUACCUGCCCAACUACGACGUCUGACCUCCUGGCCCGCCCCUCUCCGCUCGCUUCUCUUUCUCUCUUGGGGGGGGGGGGAGAGGCACGCCCCUCCCCCCCCAAUUCAUCGGCUGCAGCAAAAGAAGGCGACCCCCAGACGAGAGGAUCGCUGCGGUCGCUAAGCCAAAUCGCACCGUCCUUAAGCGAAUCCGGAUUCGCUCGUCGGAAGCCGGCUGGGAUGGCCACAAAGGAUGAAUCCUGUGGCCCCAGGGACCCUUGGAACUGUCAUAAAUACGAGUGUCCAAAUUUGAUCCUGGAACCAGGGAGACCAGCCAUGACCAGCAAUUCUUGGCCAUAACUUCCCUUUUUAAUUCCGGUCCCGUCGUAACUUAGGUCACUCAACGGACGGUUGUAAGCGAAGGACCUGCUGUAUUUAAAUCUCCCUCUCUAGCCUCUGCGGGAGGUACAACUCUAUCCCCCCCCUUUGUUCCUGAAACAGCCAGGUCAGUCCCGAAAAACAGCCCCCACCCCCAACGCCUUCCCAAACACACCAACACAGCGUCCCUCUUUCUUACACCUGGUGAGUGUGACCCCUUUUUGCUUUGUAAGCCCCUCUCCCCAUUUCCAGCUCCUUUCGAGUCCUGGGUUCAGAUCUUACCUAUCUCACCCAAGAGACCCUUGGUUAAAGGUGUUCAUUUUUUACCUGCUCCUCCCCAUUUCACAGCGAUGAGCGGCGAAACACAUUCGCCGCCCUAAUUUUUCCAAUGCUGGGGGGGGGGUGAGGGGGGCAGAAUGUUCCCCCCGCCUCGACCUCGUCCCUCCUGCACAAAACAAGGGGUGGGAUUCAUUUCCUUCCUUUACCCAGAAUUGUCUCUCCUGCCUCCUCCUCCAAACUCAUCCCCCGGGGCCCCUGUUUACCUGUAAAUAGACUUAUUUAUUCACUUUAUUUAUUGAGGCUGCCUCACUGGCAGCUUAA
Notechis scutatus (mainland tiger snake) is the source of this 1363-nucleotide non-coding RNA. The record is from RefSeq and is a predicted model, not a curated record. Lineage: Eukaryota; Metazoa; Chordata; Lepidosauria; Squamata; Elapidae.